This 1159-nucleotide ribosomal RNA is filed under the name Staphylococcus devriesei. RNAcentral's name for it is "bacterial SSU rRNA". It matches the Rfam family "Bacterial small subunit ribosomal RNA", at positions 40 to 1190 of the family's 1533-position model. Lineage: Bacteria; Bacillati; Bacillota; Bacilli; Caryophanales; Staphylococcaceae. The record is from RNAcentral.
UGAGGUGCUAUCAUGCAGUCGAGCGAACAGAUAAGGAGCUUGCUCCUUUGACGUUAGCGGCGGACGGGUGAGUAACACGUGGGUAACCUACCUAUAAGACUGGGAUAACUUCGGGAAACCGGAGCUAAUACCGGAUAAUAUUUCGAACCGCAUGGUUCGAUAGUGAAAGAUGGUUUUGCUAUCACUUAUAGAUGGACCCGCGCCGUAUUAGCUAGUUGGUAAGGUAACGGCUUACCAAGGCAACGAUACGUAGCCGACCUGAGAGGGUGAUCGGCCACACUGGAACUGAGACACGGUCCAGACUCCUACGGGAGGCAGCAGUAGGGAAUCUUCCGCAAUGGGCGAAAGCCUGACGGAGCAACGCCGCGUGAGUGAUGAAGGUCUUCGGAUCGUAAAACUCUGUUAUUAGGGAAGAACAUACGUGUAAGUAACUAUGCACGUCUUGACGGUACCUAAUCAGAAAGCCACGGCUAACUACGUGCCAGCAGCCGCGGUAAUACGUAGGUGGCAAGCGUUAUCCGGAAUUAUUGGGCGUAAAGCGCGCGUAGGCGGUUUUUUAAGUCUGAUGUGAAAGCCCACGGCUCAACCGUGGAGGUCAUUGGAAACUGGAAAACUUGAGUGCAGAAGAGGAAAGUGGAAUUCCAUGUGUAGCGGUGAAAUGCGCAGAGAUAUGGAGGAACACCAGUGGCGAAGGCGACUUUCUGGUCUGUAACUGACGCUGAUGUGCGAAAGCGUGGGGAUCAAACAGGAUUAGAUACCCUGGUAGUCCACGCCGUAAACGAUGAGUGCUAAGUGUUAGGGGGUUUCCGCCCCUUAGUGCUGCAGCUAACGCAUUAAGCACUCCGCCUGGGGAGUACGACCGCAAGGUUGAAACUCAAGGAAUUGACGGGGACCCGCACAAGCGGUGGAGCAUGUGGUUUAAUUCGAAGCAACGCGAAGACCUUACCAAAUCUUGACAUCCUUUGACCGCUCUAGAGAUAGAGUUUUCCCCUUCCGGAGGACAAAGUGACAGGUGGUGCAUGCUGUCGUCAGCUCGUGUCGUGAGAUGUUGGAUUUAGUCCCGCAACGAGCGCACCUUUAACCUUAGUUGGCAGCAUUCAGUUGGCACUCUAAGCUGAACUGUCGGUGACACCCGGAAAGAAGGGUGGGAAUGGAACAG